This 207-nucleotide ribosomal RNA is filed under the name uncultured bacterium. RNAcentral's name for it is "partial 16S ribosomal RNA". It matches the Rfam family "Bacterial small subunit ribosomal RNA", at positions 568 to 774 of the family's 1533-position model. The record is from RNAcentral.
CGUGCAGGCGGUUUGUUAAGUUGGGUGUGAAAGCUCCUGGCUCAACUGGGAGAGGUCGCCCAAGACUGGCAGACUCGAGAGCAGUAGGGGAAGGUGGAAUUCCGGGUGUAGUGGUGAAAUGCGUAGAUAUCCGGAGGAACACCAGUGGCGAAGGCGGCCUUCUAGGCUGCAUCUGACGCUCAGACGCGAAAGCUAGGGUAGCAAACG